AGAGUUUGAUCCUGGCUCAGGACAAACGCUGGCGGCGUGCUUAACACAUGCAAGUCGAACGGUCCUCGCUUCGGUGAGGAUAGUGGCGGACGGGUGAGUAACACGUAGAUGACCUGCCCUUGUGUGGGGAAUAACUACGCGAAAGCGUGGCUAAUACCGCAUACGUUCUCUCUCGUCCGGAGAGAGAAGAAACCUGGCUCCUGUCAAAAGGGCUGGGGCACGAGGAGGGGUCUGCGGCGGAUUAGCUAGUUGGUGGGGUAACGGCUCACCAAGGCGACGAUCCGUAGCUGGUCUGAGAGGACGGCCAGCCACACUGGGACUGAGACACGGCCCAGACUCCUACGGGAGGCAGCAGUGAGGAAUAUUCCACAAUGGGCGCAAGCCUGAUGGAGCGACGCCGCGUGCGGGAAGAAGGCUUUCGGGUUGUAAACCGCUUUUGUUGGGGAUGAUACUCGGGGGGAUAAUACUCCCCCGAUAAGACAGUACCCGACGAAUAAGCCUCGGCUAACUACGUGCCAGCAGCCGCGGUAAUACGUAGGAGGCGAGCGUUGUCCGGAUUUACUGGGCGUAAAGCGCGCGCAGGCGGCACUUCAAGUAAGGUGUGAAAUCUCCCUGCUCAACGGGGAGGGUGCACUUUAGACUGAGGAGCUAGAGGACGGUAGAGGGGGGUGGAAUUGCUGGUGUAGCGGUGAAAUGCGUAGAGAUCAGCAGGAACACCCGUGGCGAAGGCGGCCCCCUGGGCCGUACCUGACGCUGAGGCGCGAAGGCUAGGGGAGCGAACGGGAUUAGAUACCCCGGUAGUCCUAGCAGUAAACGAUGGCCACUAGGUGUGGGGGGUGUUGACCCCUUCCGUGCCGAAGCUAACGCAUUAAGUGGCCCGCCUGGGGAGUACGGUCGCAAGACUAAAACUCAAAGGAAUUGACGGGGACCCGCACAAGCAGCGGAGCGUGUGGUUUAAUUCGAUGCGACGCGAAGAACCUUACCAAGGCUUGACAUGCACUCGCAAUCCUCCGAAAAGAGGCCCUCCUUCGGGACGGGUGCACAGAUGUUGCGUGGCUGUCGUCAGCUCGUGUCGUGAGAUGUUGGGUUAAGUCCCGCAACGAGCGCAACCCUCGUCCUUAGUUGACUAUCUAGGGAGACCGCCGGAAACAAACCGGAGGAAGGUGGGGAUGACGUCAAGUCAGCAUGACUCUUACGUCUUGGGCUACACACACGCUACAAUGGCCGUUACAGCGAGAAGCCAGCCCGCGAGGGUGAGCAGACCUCUGAAAGGCGGCCCCAGUUCAGAUUGCACUCUGCAACCCGAGUGCAUGAAGGCGGAGUUGCUAGUAACCGCGUGUCAGCAUAGCGCGGUGAAUAUGUUCCCGGGUCUUGUACACACCGCCCGUCACGUCAUGGGAGCCGGCAAUACCUGAAGUCCGUGAGCUAACUCUUCCCUUGUGGAACGAGAGGCAGCGGCCGAGGGUAGGGCUGGUGACUGGGACGAAGUCGUAACAAGGUAACCGUA
This 1507-nucleotide ribosomal RNA is filed under the name uncultured bacterium. RNAcentral describes it as "bacterial SSU rRNA". It matches the Rfam family "Bacterial small subunit ribosomal RNA". The record is from RNAcentral.